Molecule: long non-coding RNA, 1089 nt
Filed under: Callithrix jacchus (white-tufted-ear marmoset)
Lineage: Eukaryota; Metazoa; Chordata; Mammalia; Primates; Cebidae
Description: lncRNA (ENSCJAG00000055117.2)
Source: RNAcentral
UAAUAUUUAUACAUAUUUAUAGGGUAUGUGUGAUAUUUUGUUGCAUGCAUAGAAUGGCUAAUGAUUAGGUCAGGGUAUACCUCUAGUAUUUAUCACUUUUAUAAGUUUAGAACAUUUUCAAGUCCUCUCUUCUACCUAUUUUAAAAUAUAUAAUACUUUGUUAUUAACUAUAGAUACUCUGCUCUGCUAUUAAACUUAUUUCUUCUAUCUGUUUGUUUAGACCCAUUAAUCAACCUCUCUGUUUCUCUCAUCAACAUGGCUCACCCUUCCCAGCCUCUGAUAUCUCUCAUUCUACUCUCUACCUCUAUGAGAUCAACUUUUUAGUUCCCACGUGUGAGGUCCUAAUCAGGAUAUCACAUUGUAUUUACUAAGGAUGUCUCCUCAGACCCCUAUUGGCUGUAACAGAUUCUCAGUCUUUUCUUGUUUUCUAUGACUUUGCAGUUUGGAGGAGUACUAGUGAGGUUUUUUUGUAAAAUGUUUUUCAUUUGAGUUCUCGUGAUACUUUUCUCAUGGUUACAAAGGGGUUUGAAGUUUUGGGGGAGGAAGACCACAGAUUUCUGUUAAGAUUCCUGCAUUUGCUCAAGAUAUUUUUUCUUUUCUAUGAGUAAAUUCAUGCUGAGAGAGGAAAGAGGAGAUCAACCUGCUAAUAGAAAAAGAUGCUUUGGUACUUCAUGAAAGAGAAGAUUAAAACUCCAGCUUUCUCAUGGGUGACAAGGAGUGAAGAUUGCUGCAACGCCCAGUGCUCAUGUUGUUUGGGGGCUGAUUAGAAAGCAGAAUAAAGCCAGUAUGGAGGCUUUUCUCUGUAUGUCUCACAGAACCAGGUGUGACUAAACAGGACUGUGAGCUGGCAAUGGAACAGGGCCACUUGGAGCUUGUUUCUAUUCUGUUUUACAAAGUCUAAAAACCACUCUGAAAGACAUAUUCACCCUAAAGUAUAGUGGAAAGUUGAGCAGGCAAUUCUUGAAUUAUCUAGCAGCUGGGAUCUCAAAGAAGACUGAAGGAGAGAGGCUAACAAACUAUGAUAUCUGGACUCAUUUGCAAAUUGACUUCAAAUUAGAUUCUUCCAAAGAGCUGCUGGAAAGAUACUGA